CUUCACCGAACCCAACAACAACGGCGCCUCCCGAUCCUGCCCAUAGGUCGCCAGCAACGCCUGCGCCUC
Molecule: non-coding RNA, 69 nt
Organism: Actinophytocola sp.
Lineage: Bacteria; Bacillati; Actinomycetota; Actinomycetes; Pseudonocardiales; Pseudonocardiaceae
Rfam family: ASpks TB sRNA
Source: Rfam